UGGGGAAUUUUGCACAAUGGGGGAAACCCUGAUGCAGCGACGCCGCGUGAUUUAGAAGGCCUUCGGGUUGUAAAAAUCUUUUCUAUGGGAAGAAAAUGACAGUACCAUAGGAAUAAGGACCGGCUAAUUACGUGCCAGCAGCCGCGGUAAUACGUAAGGUCCGAGCGUUGUCCGGAAUCAUUGGGCGUAAAGGGUACGUAGGCGGGUAAGCAAGUUAGAAGUGAAAUCCUAUAGCUCAACUAUAGUAAGCUUUUAAAACUGCACAUCUUGAGGUAUGGAAGGGAAAGUGGAAUUCAUAGUGUAGCGGUGAGAUGCGCAGAUAUUAGGAGGGAUACCGGUGGCGAAGGCGACUUUCUGGCCAUAACCUGACGCUGAGGUACGAAAGCGUGGGUAGCAAACAGG
This 402-nucleotide ribosomal RNA is filed under the name bacterium. RNAcentral's name for it is "partial 16S ribosomal RNA". It matches the Rfam family "Bacterial small subunit ribosomal RNA", at positions 355 to 776 of the family's 1533-position model. The record is from RNAcentral.